This 69-nucleotide transfer RNA is filed under the name Koreoleptoxis amurensis. RNAcentral describes it as "tRNA-Val". Lineage: Eukaryota; Metazoa; Mollusca; Gastropoda; Pleuroceridae. RNAcentral also lists the same sequence under 1 other name. The record is from RNAcentral.
UAGGAUAUAGCAUAAUUUGAAAUGUAUUUCGUUUACACUGAAAUGAUACUUUAGUAUAAGUUGUCCUAA